RNAcentral lists this ribosomal RNA (620 nucleotides) under uncultured bacterium. RNAcentral's name for it is "bacterial SSU rRNA". It matches the Rfam family "Bacterial small subunit ribosomal RNA", at positions 108 to 724 of the family's 1533-position model. The record is from RNAcentral.
GAGUAAUGUCUGGGAAACUGCCUGAUGGAGGGGGAUAACUACUGGAAACGGUAGCUAAUACCGCAUAACGUCGCAAGACCAAAGAGGGGGACCUUCGGGCCUCUUGCCAUCGGAUGUGCCCAGAUGGGAUUAGCUAGUAGGUGGGGUAACGGCUCACCUAGGCGACGAUCCCUAGCUGGUCUGAGAGGAUGACCAGCCACACUGGAACUGAGACACGGUCCAGACUCCUACGGGAGGCAGCAGUGGGGAAUAUUGCACAAUGGGCGCAAGCCUGAUGCAGCCAUGCCGCGUGUAUGAAGAAGGCCUUCGGGUUGUAAAGUACUUUCAGCGGGGAGGAAGGGAGUAAAGUUAAUACCUUUGCUCAUUGACGUUACCCGCAGAAGAAGCACCGGCUAACUCCGUGCCAGCAGCCGCGGUAAUACGGAGGGUGCAAGCGUUAAUCGGAAUUACUGGGCGUAAAGCGCACGCAGGCGGUUUGUUAAGUCAGAUGUGAAAUCCCCGGGCUCAACCUGGGAACUGCAUCUGAUACUGGCAAGCUUGAGUCUCGUAGAGGGGGGUAGAAUUCCAGGUGUAGCGGUGAAAUGCGUAGAGAUCUGGAGGAAUACCGGUGGCGAAGGCGG